RNAcentral lists this ribosomal RNA (613 nucleotides) under Candida tropicalis. Its description in RNAcentral is "partial 26S ribosomal RNA". The record is from RNAcentral. Lineage: Eukaryota; Fungi; Ascomycota; Pichiomycetes; Serinales; Debaryomycetaceae.
GGUCCGUGUUUCAAGACGGGCGACUUAAGAUCAUUAUGCCAACAUCCUAGGUAUAAACCGCAGUCCUCAGUCUAGGCUGGCAGUAUCGACGAAGGCUAUAACACACAACCGAAGCCGUGCCACAUUCCAACGCAAUUCUCCUACCGCCCAAACUGAUGCUGGCCCGAUAAACUGUAGAGGCCACCCCCGAAGAAGUAACAUACAAAAUACCAAGUCUGAUCUCAAGCCCUUCCCUUUCAACAAUUUCACGUACUUUUUCACUCUCUUUUCAAAGUUCUUUUCAUCUUUCCAUCACUGUACUUGUUCGCUAUCGGUCUCUCGCCAAUAUUUAGCUUUAGAUGGAAUUUACCACCCACUUAGAGCUGCAUUCCCAAACAACUCGACUCUUCGAAGGAACUUUACAUAGGCCUGGAUCAUCUCAUCGCACGGGAUUCUCACCCUCUGUGACGUUCUGUUCCAAGAAACAUAGACAAGAGCCAGACCCAAAGAUACCUUCUUCAAAUUACAACUCGGACUCUGAAAGAGCCAGAUUUCAAAUUUGAGCUUUUGCCGCUUCACUCGCCGCUACUAAGGCAAUCCCUGUUGGUUUCUUUUCCUCCGCUUAUUGAUAUGC